CCUGAGCAAAAGCUGUGGCCUGU
RNAcentral lists this non-coding RNA (23 nucleotides) under Cricetulus griseus (Chinese hamster). Lineage: Eukaryota; Metazoa; Chordata; Mammalia; Rodentia; Cricetidae. The record is from RNAcentral.